RNAcentral lists this long non-coding RNA (651 nucleotides) under Apteryx owenii (little spotted kiwi). RNAcentral describes it as "lncRNA (ENSAOWG00000005032.1)". The record is from RNAcentral. Lineage: Eukaryota; Metazoa; Chordata; Aves; Apterygiformes; Apterygidae.
CCUCGCGCUGGCCGUUAGUUCGCCCUCUCCCGCAGCCCUGCCCUUUCGCGCUGGCCGUUAGCUCGCCCCUGGGCGCACGCAGCUGCUUCGGGCCGGUCUCUGCCCAAGCGGGGAGGGCGGGGAAGGGAAGGGUGGUGGAGGUUUCCUGCACCUCUCCCGGCUAGUGCGCAGUUUUUUCAUUGCUUUCGCCCUGGGAGAACAAAGGAGACUUCGUAAGACUGCAGGGUGGCUUUGCUGCUGGUCGUGCGCUGUCCUCGGCUAAGCUCCGGGCCUUGAGUAUUUGUAUCUGUGAGACAGCCGGAGGUGCUGGCAGACCUACCUGCUGUAAUCGCACAAAGAAAAUCCUUUGAAGCAGUUUUGAAGGAGAGAAGUCCUGUAUAUCAGGCUGACUUUGGUGUCUCCGUGCCUCCUGCAAUAUGAGGAGAUCCUACCACGACUCAGGAUGAUGGCUUUCAAGAAUACCUGGAAAUGUAAGACUGAAAUAAUCUUAGGCUGAUGACAUGUUUUAUGGGGAGUGUUGGCAUUGCUUCUAGAGUAACCAGCUCUACAGCCACUGAACACUUUUUGCCAAGAAGCGAAACAGUAAAUGCCUCAUUGCGUUACUCUGUUCUGUUUUGGAGAAAUUAUCUGCAUUGUCACAUUAUUCAUUAA